This 460-nucleotide ribosomal RNA is filed under the name uncultured bacterium. RNAcentral describes it as "partial 16S ribosomal RNA". It matches the Rfam family "Bacterial small subunit ribosomal RNA", at positions 338 to 795 of the family's 1533-position model. The record is from RNAcentral.
CCUACGGGAGGCAGCAGUGAGGAAUAUUGGUCAAUGGACGAGAGUCUGAACCAGCCAAGUAGCGUGAAGGAUGACUGCCCUAUGGGUUGUAAACUUCUUUUAUAUGGGAAUAAAACGUUCCACGUGUGGGAUUUUGUAUGUACCAUAUGAAUAAGGUUCGGCUAACUCCGUGCCAGCAGCCGCGGUAAUACGGAGGAUCCGAGCGUUAUCCGGAUUUAUUGGGUUUAAAGGGAGCGUAGGUGGAUUGUUAAGUCAGUUGUGAAAGUUUGCGGCUCAACCGUAAAAUUGCAGUUGAAACUGGCAGUCUUGAGUACAGUAGAGGUGGGCGGAAUGCGUGGUGUAGCGGUGAAAUGCUUAGAUAUCACGAAGAACUCCGAUUGCGAAGGCAGUUCACUGGACUGCAACUGACACUGAGGCUCGAAAGUGUGGGUAUCAAACAGGAUUAGAUACCCUAGUAGUC